This 254-nucleotide ribosomal RNA is filed under the name uncultured bacterium. RNAcentral's name for it is "partial 16S ribosomal RNA". It matches the Rfam family "Bacterial small subunit ribosomal RNA", at positions 524 to 776 of the family's 1533-position model. The record is from RNAcentral.
UACGGAGGAUCCAAGCGUUAUCCGGAAUUACUGGGCGUAAAGAGUUGCGUAGGUGGCAUUGUAAGUUGGUAGUGAAAGCGUGCGGCUCAACCGCAUACACAUUAUCAAAACUGCAAAGCUAGAGGACGAGAGGGGUAAUUGGAAUUCCCAGUGUAGGAGUGAAAUCCGUAGAUAUUGGGAGGAACACCGAUGGCGUAGGCAGAUUACUGGCUCGUUCCUGACACUAAGGCACGAAAGCGUGGGUAGCAAACGGG